This 394-nucleotide ribosomal RNA is filed under the name Hyalomma rufipes rufipes. RNAcentral's name for it is "partial 16S ribosomal RNA". The stretch from base 261 to 394 matches the Rfam family "Archaeal large subunit ribosomal RNA", at positions 2542 to 2676 of the family's 2987-position model. The record is from RNAcentral. Lineage: Eukaryota; Metazoa; Arthropoda; Arachnida; Ixodida; Ixodidae.
GUAUUGUAAUAAGAUUUUAAUUGAAUGCUAAAAGAAUGGAAAUUUAAAAAAAAACUUUUUUAAAAAUAAAAAUUGAAUUUUUUUUAAUUUGUGCAAAAACAAUUAUAUUUAUUAAAGACAAGAAGACCCUAAGAAUUUAAGAUUUUACAAUUAAAAAGUUUUUUUUUAAAAUCUUGAUUGGGGCGAUCAAAAAAUAUUAAUAACUUUUUAAAAUUUAAAUUGAUCUAUUAUUAAUAAACUAAUGAAUUAAAUACUCUAGGGAUAACAGCGUAAUAAUUUUUGAUAGAUCUUAUUGACAAAAUAGUUUGCGACCUCGAUGUUGGAUUAGGAUUCUUUUUUAAUGAAGAAGUUAAAAAAAGAAGUUUGUUCAACUUUUAAAUUCCUACUUGAUCUG